AGUGAACGCUGGCGGUAGGCCUAACACAUGCAAGUCGAACGGCAGCACAGGAGAGCUUGCUCUCUAGGUGGCGAGUGGCGGACGGGUGAGGAAUACAUCGGAAUCUGCCCAGUCGUGGGGGAUAACGUAGGGAAACUUACGCUAAUACCGCAUACGACCUUCGGGUGAAAGAGGGGGAUCGCAAGACCUCUCGCGAUUGGAUGAGCCGAUGUCGGAUUAGCUAGUUAGCGGGGUAAUGGCCCACCAAGGCGACGAUCCGUAGCUGGUCUGAGAGGAUGAUCAGCCACACUGGAACUGAGACACGGUCCAGACUCCUACGGGAGGCAGCAGUGGGGAAUAUUGGACAAUGGACGCAAGCCUGAUCCAGCCAUACCGCGUGGGUGAAGAAGGCCUUCGGGUUGUAAAGCCCUUUUGUUGGGAAAGAAAUCUUUCAGGCUAAUACCCUGGGAGGAUGACGGUACCCAAAGAAUAAGCACCGGCUAACUUCGUG
Molecule: ribosomal RNA, 490 nt
Filed under: uncultured bacterium
Lineage: Bacteria
Description: partial 16S ribosomal RNA
Rfam family: Bacterial small subunit ribosomal RNA
Source: RNAcentral